AGAGUUUGAUCCUGGCUCAGAAUGAACGCUGGCGGCGUGGCUAAGACAUGCAAGUCGUACGAAUGCUUUGAUUGAGUAAUCGAGAUAAGCGUUAGUGGCGGAUGGAUGAGUAAUGCAUAGAUAACAUACCUUAAGCUCCGGGAUAACUACGGGAAACUGUAGGUAAUACCGGAUAAUGUCCUAGAAUCGAAUGGUUUCUGGACCAAAGGGCUUCGGUACUGGCUUUUGAGUGGUCUAUGUCGUAUCAGUUUGUUGGUGAGGUAAUGGCUCACCAAGACUUCGACGCGUAGCGGGACUGAGAGGUUGACCCGCCAUAUCGGGACUGAGACACUGCCCGGACCUCCACGGAGGGCUGCAGUAACGAAUCUUGCGCAAUGGACGAAAGUCUGACGCAGCAACGCCGCGUGUAGGACGAAGCCCCUCGGGGUGUAAACUACUGUCAGGGUGAAGAAAGGUGAGGGUUGUAAUACCCGAUCUUGAUCGAUCCCAAAGGAAGGUCCGGCUAACUUCGUGCCAGCAGCCGCGGUAAUACGAAGGGACCAAGCGUUAUUCGGAAUCAUUGGGCUUAAAGCGCACGUAGGCGGAUAGAUCAGUGUCUUGUGAAAUCCCCCGGCUUAACCGGGGAACUGCAGGGCAUACUGUCUAUCUUGAGGCAAGUAGGGGUACAUGGAACUCUGGGUGGAGCGGUGAAAUGCGUAGAUAUCCAGAGGAACGCCAGCGGAGAAAUCGGUGUACUGGGCUUGUUCUGACGCUGAGGUGCGAAAGCGUGGGUAGCGAACGGGAUUAGAUAACCCGGUAGUCCACGCUGUAAACGAUGCCUACUAGAUUGUGGGAGUUCUGACGCUCUCGCGGUCGAAGCAAAAGUGUUAAGUAGGCCGCCUGGGGAGUACGGUCGCAAGGCUAAAACUCAAAGGAAUUGACGGGGGCUCACACAAGCAGUGGAGCAUGUGGCUUAAUUCGAAACAACGCGAAGAACCUUAUCCUGGGUUUGACUAUUACGGAUGCCCUUCCUGAAAGGGGAGUAAGCUGCCUUCGGGUGAAACGUAACCAGGUGCUGCAUGGCUGUCGUCAGCUCGUGUCGUGAGAUGUCGGGUUAAGUCCCUUAACGAGCGAAACCCUUAUCGUUAGUUGCCAGCGAGUAAUGUCGGGGACUCUAGCGAGACUGCCGGUGUUAAACCGGAGGAAGGCGGGGAUGACGUCAAGUCCUCAUGGCCUUUAUGCCCAGGGCUGCACACGUGCUACAAUGGCAUGGACAGACCGAUGCGAUACCGCGAGGUGGAGCAAAUCGGAAAAACCAUGCCUCAGUUCGGAUUGAAGGCUGCAACUCGCCUUCAUGAAGUUGGAAUUGCUAGUAAUCGCAGAUCAGCUAUGCUGC
Molecule: ribosomal RNA, 1375 nt
Filed under: metagenome
Description: bacterial SSU rRNA
Rfam family: Bacterial small subunit ribosomal RNA
Source: RNAcentral